Molecule: ribosomal RNA, 468 nt
Filed under: uncultured bacterium
Lineage: Bacteria
Description: partial 16S ribosomal RNA
Rfam family: Bacterial small subunit ribosomal RNA
Source: RNAcentral
GACGAACGCUGGCGGCGUGCUUAACACAUGCAAGUCGAACGGAAAGGCCCUGCUUUUGUGGGGUGCUCGAGUGGCGAACGGGUGAGUAACACGUGAGUAACCUGCCCUUGACUUUGGGAUAACUUCAGGAAACUGGGGCUAAUACCGGAUAGGAGCUCCUGCUGCAUGGUGGGGGUUGGAAAGUUUCGGCGGUUGGGGAUGGACGCGCGGCUUAUCAGCUUGUUGGUGGGGUAGUGGCUUACCAAGGCUUUGACGGGUAGCCGGCCUGAGAGGGUGACCGGGCACAUUGGGACUGAGAUACGGCCCAGACUCCUACGGGAGGCAGCAGUGGGGAAUAUUGCACAAUGGGCGGAAGCCUGAUGCAGCAACGCCGCGUGCGGGAUGACGGCCUUCGGGUUGUAAACCGCUUUCGCCUGUGACGAAGCGUGAGUGACGGUAAUGGGUAAAGAAACACCGGCUAACUACGUG